CCUACGGGAGGCAGCAGUGAGGAAUAUUGGUCAAUGGGCGGGAGCCUGAACCAGCCAAGUCGCGUGAGGGAAGACGGUCCUAUGGAUUGUAAACCUCUUUAGGCGGGGAGCAAUGCCGGGCACGCGUGCCCGGAGGGAGAGUACCCGCAGAAUAAGCAUCGGCUAACUCCGUGCCAGCAGCCGCGGUAAUACGGAGGAUGCGAGCGGUAUCCGGAUUUAUGGGGUUUAAAGGGUGAGUAGGCGGAUUUUUAAGUCAGCGGUAAAAUGUCCGGGCUCAACCCGGGCCGGCCGUUGAAACUGGGGAUCUUGAGUGGGCGAGAAGUAUGCGGAAUGCGUGGUGUAGCGGUGAAAUGCAUAGAUAUCACGCAGAACUCCGAUUGCGAAGGCAGCAUACCGGCGCCCGACUGACGCUGAGGCACGAAAGCGUGGGGAUCGAACAGGAUUAGAUACCCCGGUAGUC
RNAcentral lists this ribosomal RNA (460 nucleotides) under uncultured bacterium. RNAcentral's name for it is "partial 16S ribosomal RNA". It matches the Rfam family "Bacterial small subunit ribosomal RNA", at positions 338 to 795 of the family's 1533-position model. The record is from RNAcentral.